RNAcentral lists this unclassified non-coding RNA (346 nucleotides) under soil metagenome. Its description in RNAcentral is "partial contains 5.8S ribosomal RNA, internal transcribed spacer 2, and large subunit ribosomal RNA". The stretch from base 1 to 120 matches the Rfam family "5.8S ribosomal RNA", at positions 35 to 154 of the family's 154-position model. The record is from RNAcentral.
GAUGAAGAACGUAGUAAAAUGCGAUAAGUAAUGUGAAUUGCAGAAUUCAGUGAAUCAUCGAAUCUUUGAACGCACAUUGCGCCCGCUGGUAUUCCGGCGGGCAUGCCUGUUCGAGCGUCUUUUCAACCCUCAAGCCCCCGGGUUUGGUGUUGGGGAUCGGCUCUGCCUUCUGGCGGUGCCGCCCCCGAAAUACAUUGGCGGUCUCGCUGCAGCCUCCAUUGCGUAGUAGCUAACACCUCGCAACUGGAACGCGGCGCGGCCAUGCCGUAAAACCCCAACUUCUGAAUGUUGACCUCGGAUCAGGUAGGAAUACCCGCUGAACUUAAGCAUAUCAAUAAGCGGAGGA